RNAcentral lists this ribosomal RNA (502 nucleotides) under uncultured bacterium. Its description in RNAcentral is "partial 16S ribosomal RNA". It matches the Rfam family "Bacterial small subunit ribosomal RNA", at positions 899 to 1397 of the family's 1533-position model. The record is from RNAcentral.
ACUCAAAUGAAUUGACGGGGGCCCGCACAAGCAGUGGAGCAUGCGGUUUAAUUCGAUGUUACGCGAAAAACCUUACCAACCCUUGACAUGGUGGUCGCGGGUCGCAGAGAUGCUUCCCUUCAGUUCGGCUGGACCACACACAGGUGUUGCAUGGCUGUCGUCAGCUCGUGUCGUGAGAUGUUGGGUUAAGUCCCGCAACGAGCGCAACCCCCAUCCUUAUUUGCCAGCGAGUUAUGUCGGGAACUAUAAGGAAACUGCCGGUGAUAAGCCGGAGGAAGGUGGGGACGAUGUCAAGUCAUCAUGGCCCUUAUGGGUUGGGCUACACGCGUGCUACAAUGGUAGCUACAGAGGGAAGCAAAACGGCGACGUGGAGCGAAUCCUUAAAAGUUAUCUCAGUUCGGAUUGCACUCUGCAACUCGAGUGCAUGAAGUUGGAAUUGCUAGUAAUCGCGGAUCAGCACGCCGCGGUGAAUACGUUCCCGGGCCUUGUACACACCGCCCGU